UACGUAGGGCGCAAGCGUUGUCCGGAAUUAUUGGGCGUAAAGAGCUCGUAGGCGGUCUGUCGCGUCGGCUGUGAAAACCCGGGGCUCAACCCCGGGCGUGCAGUGGAUACGGGCUGGCUGGAGGCAGGCAGGGGAGAACGGAAUUCCUGGUGUAGCGGUGAAAUGCGCAGAUAUCAGGAGGAACACCGGUGGCGAAGGCGGCUCACUGGCUCGUAACUGACGCUCAGGCACGACAGCGUGGGGAGCAAACAGG
RNAcentral lists this ribosomal RNA (253 nucleotides) under uncultured bacterium. Its description in RNAcentral is "partial 16S ribosomal RNA". It matches the Rfam family "Bacterial small subunit ribosomal RNA", at positions 524 to 776 of the family's 1533-position model. The record is from RNAcentral.